Mastomys coucha (southern multimammate mouse) is the source of this 416-nucleotide long non-coding RNA. RefSeq lists it as uncharacterized. The transcript is spliced from 2 exons. Lineage: Eukaryota; Metazoa; Chordata; Mammalia; Rodentia; Muridae. The record is from RefSeq and is a predicted model, not a curated record.
GCGGAAGUAGGCGCCAUCUUGCCAUGGCGAAUGCCUCUCAAGAUUUACGGCUCCCCACACCUGUCUCUGCCUAUCAAGUGUUGGUCCCAUCUAAAUAGUCGACUGACAUCAUUGGACUUCACAUAUCAAUAAUUCAUGGGAUGCUAUGAGAAUAUUGUCCAGACCUUUAGGACUUAAACAAUGGGGUUCUCAAGAAGAGGGAGCUGCAACUACAAAUUUGGGAACAGGAGACAUGAAAGAAGGACACAAGACAAAAACUUCUGAUGAAGUCUCCAUCUACUCUAGGGAAACAAAGGGCUUUUAAAGCAACAGACCACAAAGGUAUUUGCCCAGGUGCACUGGCCAAAUAGGCAUUUUUGCUUGGUUACACAUCAGCACAAAUGGAAUGUCCACAUAGUAAAAUGUCCAGAAAGGAA